UACGUAGGGGGCUAGCGUUGUCCGGAAUCAUUGGGCGUAAAGAGCGCGUAGGCGGCCAGAUAAGUCCGGUGUGAAAGUCACAGGCUCAACCUUUGAACGCCGAUGGAUACUGCCGGGCUAGAGUCCGGAAGAGGCGAGUGGAAUUCCUGGUGUAGCGGUGGAAUGCGCAGAUAUCAGGAGGAACACCAAGAGCGAAGGCAGCUCGCUGGGACGGUACUGACGCUGAGGCGCGAAAGCGUGGGGAGCGAACAGG
Molecule: ribosomal RNA, 253 nt
Filed under: uncultured bacterium
Lineage: Bacteria
Description: partial 16S ribosomal RNA
Rfam family: Bacterial small subunit ribosomal RNA
Source: RNAcentral